UGAAGGGUGAAGCAUCUUUUCUGGAUGUUCCUCUUUUGGAGCUUUAUGUUAUAGCCUCUGAAGAGCAACAAGAACACGUGUCCAUCGCAGAUACAGAAAUCAGGGCUUGCCACAUGAAGCUCAGAGUACAGUCACAGCAAGAAAAGCAACCCUUGUAACCAUGACUCGCCUAAGAUUAAUUUCACUGGAUUUCCCGAGAAUUACUUAGUAAUUUGAAAGACCAUUGAACUCCUACUGAUCUGAAAUUGAAUGGUGUAGAGCUUCUUUAAACUGCUUCUGGCAUUUAAAUGGCAUUGAAGGAAAGGAUUUCACAGCAGAUACGGAAGAUUUCUGAUAAAGUUACUUUGAGAUGAGCAUUCAGGAGAUUUUGUCCACGGAAGAAACUUGGUUGGCCAAUGGGAGCAGCAAGAAAGAAUAAGGAAA
This is a long non-coding RNA of Centrocercus urophasianus (Greater sage-grouse), 423 nucleotides long. RefSeq lists it as uncharacterized. The record is from RefSeq and is a predicted model, not a curated record. NCBI's taxonomy places the organism in Eukaryota, Metazoa, Chordata, Aves, Galliformes, Phasianidae. The transcript is spliced from 4 exons.